This 400-nucleotide ribosomal RNA is filed under the name uncultured bacterium. Its description in RNAcentral is "bacterial SSU rRNA". It matches the Rfam family "Bacterial small subunit ribosomal RNA", at positions 355 to 747 of the family's 1533-position model. The record is from RNAcentral.
UGGGGAAUCUUGGACAAUGGGGGCAACCCUGAUCCAGCAAUACCGCGUGUGUGAAGAAGGCCUUCGGGUUGUAAAGCACUUUAGGUGGGGAAGAAAAGGCUACGAGGAAUAUUCGUAGUUGCUGACGGUACCCACAGAAUAAGCACCGGCUAACUCUGUGCCAGCAGCCGCGGUAAUACAGAGGGUGCAAGCGUUAAUCAGAAUGACUGGGCGUAAAGGGCGUGUAGGUGGUUGACUAGGUUUGAUGUGAAAUCCCCGGGCUUAACCUGGGAAUGGCGUCGAAAACGGGUUGACUAGAGUGAGAGAGAGGGUUGUGGAAUUUCCGGUGUAGCGGUGAAAUGCGUAGAUAUCGGAAAGAACAUCAGUGGCGAAGGCGACAAUCUGGCUCUUAACUGACACU